UGUGGUGCUUGUAUGUAUACAUAUAUAUCUGUGUAUACACACACACACACACACACACACACGCGCACACACACACAC
Molecule: microRNA precursor, 78 nt
Filed under: Ovis aries (sheep)
Lineage: Eukaryota; Metazoa; Chordata; Mammalia; Artiodactyla; Bovidae
Description: miRNA (ENSOARG00000021573.1)
Source: RNAcentral